UAUUUUCCUUUUUUUCCCUCCGCCGCGGUAAUACGGAAGGUCCGGGCGUUAUCCGGAUUUAUUGGGUUUAAAGGGAGCGUAGGCCGGAGAUUAAGCGUGUUGUGAAAUGUAGACGCUCAACGUCUGCACUGCAGCGCGAACUGGUUUCCUUGAGUACGCACAAAGUGGGCGGAAUUCGUGGUGUAGCGGUGAAAUGCUUAGAUAUCACGAAGAACUCCGAUUGCGAAGGCAGCUCACUGGAGCGCAACUGACGCUGAAGCUCGAAAGUGCGGGUAUCGAACAGG
This 284-nucleotide ribosomal RNA is filed under the name Segatella copri DSM 18205. RNAcentral's name for it is "Prevotella copri DSM 18205 partial 16S ribosomal RNA". It matches the Rfam family "Bacterial small subunit ribosomal RNA", at positions 498 to 776 of the family's 1533-position model. The record is from RNAcentral. Lineage: Bacteria; Pseudomonadati; Bacteroidota; Bacteroidia; Bacteroidales; Prevotellaceae.